AGAAGCAGAUUUUUCACGAUUAUCCUUGUGUAUUCGGUUUUCGGUCAUGUCAGGAUUGUCGACCAACGUGACAUAAAGUGCAU
Haliotis rubra (blacklip abalone) is the source of this 83-nucleotide long non-coding RNA. RefSeq lists it as uncharacterized. The record is from RefSeq and is a predicted model, not a curated record. NCBI's taxonomy places the organism in Eukaryota, Metazoa, Mollusca, Gastropoda, Lepetellida, Haliotidae. The transcript is spliced from 3 exons.